GAUGAACGCUGGCGGCGUGCUUAACACAUGCAAGUCGAACGGAGUUAUUUGAAAGCUUGCUUUUGAAUAACUUAGUGGCGGACGGGUGAGUAACGCGUGGGUGACCUGCCUUAUACUGGGGGAUAACACUUAGAAAUAGGUGCUAAUACCGCAUAAGCGCACAGUUCUGCAUGGAACAGUGUGAAAAACUCCGGUGGUAUAAGAUGGACCCGCGUCUGAUUAGCUAGUUGGUGGGUAAAGGCCCACCAAGGCGACGAUCAGUAGCCGGACUGAGAGGUUGACCGGCCACAUUGGGACUGAGAUACGGCCCAGACUCCUACGGGAGCAGCAGUGGGAAUAUUGGGCAAUGGACGCAAGUCUGACCCAGCAACGCCGCGUGAAGGAAGAAGGCUUUCGGGUUGUAAACUUCUUUAAGGGGAGAGUAGAAGACGGUACCCUAGAAUAAGCCACGGCUAACUACGUG
This 463-nucleotide ribosomal RNA is filed under the name uncultured bacterium. RNAcentral describes it as "bacterial SSU rRNA". It matches the Rfam family "Bacterial small subunit ribosomal RNA", at positions 28 to 507 of the family's 1533-position model. The record is from RNAcentral.